RNAcentral lists this unclassified non-coding RNA (378 nucleotides) under uncultured Christensenellaceae bacterium. Its description in RNAcentral is "contains 16S-23S intergenic spacer region". The record is from RNAcentral. Lineage: Bacteria; Bacillati; Bacillota; Clostridia; Christensenellales; Christensenellaceae.
UCCGAGUUGUCCCCGGCAGUCCUUCCAGAGUCCUCGCCUUGACGCGUUAGUAACUGAAAGUAAGGGUUGCGCUCGUUGCGGGACUUAACCCAACAUCUCACGACACGAGCUGACGACAACCAUGCACCACCUGUCUCAGUAUGUCCGAAGACACGAUGUAUCUCUACAAGUUUUACUGGAUGUCAAGACCUGGUAAGGUUCUUCGCGUUGCGUCGAAUUAAACCACAUGCUCCGCUGCUUGUGCGGGCCCCCGUCAAUUCCUUUGAGUUUCAACCUUGCGGCCGUACUCCCCAGGCGGAAUGCUUAUUGUGUUAACUGCGGCACAGAAGGGGUCGAUACCUCCUACACCUAGCAUUCAUCGUUUACAGUGUGGACUAC